This 373-nucleotide ribosomal RNA is filed under the name uncultured bacterium. RNAcentral describes it as "bacterial SSU rRNA". It matches the Rfam family "Bacterial small subunit ribosomal RNA", at positions 524 to 898 of the family's 1533-position model. The record is from RNAcentral.
UACGUAGGGGGCGAGCGUUAUUCGGAAUUAUUGGGCGUAAAGAGUGCGUAGGUGGUUACCUAAGCGCAAGGUUUAAGCUUGAGGCUCAACCUCAUUUUGCCUUGCGAACUGGGCUACUUGAGUGCAGGAGGGGAAAGCGGAAUUCCUAGUGUAGCGGUGAAAUGCGUAGAUAUUAGGAAGAACACCAGUGGCGAAGGCGGCUUUCUGGACUGUAACUGACACUGAGGCACGAAAGCGUGGGGAGCAAACAGGAUUAGAUACCCUGGUAGUCCACGCCGUAAACGAUGAGCACUGGCUGUUGGGUCCGAACGGAUUCAGUGGCGCAGUUAACGCAAUAAGUGCUCCGCCUGGGGAGUACGUUCGCAAGAAUAAA